GGUGGUGGACGAUCCACUCGCCAACCGGGUCAGGUCCGGAAGGAAGCAGCCCUAACGAGCCCGGAACGGGUCAUUGUUCCA
RNAcentral lists this signal recognition particle RNA (81 nucleotides) under Mesorhizobium sp. SCN 65-12. RNAcentral's name for it is "signal recognition particle sRNA small type". It matches the Rfam family "Bacterial small signal recognition particle RNA". From Rfam's summary of the family: The signal recognition particle (SRP) is a universally conserved ribonucleoprotein involved in the co-translational targeting of proteins to membranes. Archaeal SRP consists of a 7S RNA and homologues of the eukaryotic SRP19 and SRP54 proteins. The record is from RNAcentral. Lineage: Bacteria; Pseudomonadati; Pseudomonadota; Alphaproteobacteria; Hyphomicrobiales; Phyllobacteriaceae.